Molecule: long non-coding RNA, 1135 nt
Filed under: Oryctolagus cuniculus (rabbit)
Lineage: Eukaryota; Metazoa; Chordata; Mammalia; Lagomorpha; Leporidae
Description: lncRNA (ENSOCUG00000031546.1)
Source: RNAcentral
GGUUGAUACAAAGCUCUAAAAUUAAAUACUCAGGUACCAAAAGUUAUGAGUCUAACAUACUUCAUAUUAGAUAAAUUGCAUAUUUAAAGAAAUUUUCUGUCAUAACCUUGAAAAAACCCAUGGAAGGAGCCUCAAGCUAAGUUCAGAUAGACGAGAGACCAUCACAAUAAUUCCCAUCUUACACACUUCCCCAGGAAAUAGCUGGCUUAUUCAGGUUCUGUCACAUAGAGUAGAAAGUACUUCAUUUUUAAAAGGAAGAAACAGGUAUAAAAUGAGAGAACUACUUAUAAGUCUCACCAGUCUUAAAAGAAAAGUACUAUUUUAGAAUAAUGUUUUUUUUUUUAUGCAGGAGGCUGGGUGCCCUCAUUUUUUGCUUUCAUUUAUUCAAUAAGUACUCAGGAAGUACCUUCUCUGCUCAUAGCACUGAGUAUUCCAGACCACAGGCAUGUCCCUGUCCUCAAGAUGUUCAGAGAGUCACGCACGUGUUUGGAGAAAGUUACAGUAAGUGGUACCACAGUCACACUGGCCUGCAUUAUGCCCACUGACUACUCUGCCAUCUGUGAUACCCUGGCUGCAGAGACUCAACCAAAACAUAGCCUCGAGCAGUCUCUCCACCUUGACCCCUCCGUGUGGAGUCUGUGACCCUGCGGAUAACAAAGGCCCCUUAGCAAACAAGCUGAAAAGUUUCUCUCAACCCUUCCCAGAGCAUUGUUCUUAUUUCCUCAUCCCCUUCACCCAAAAUAACUCUACUAGCUCCCGUGUCAGCCAGGGCUGAGAGAGCGUCUGCAAGCUGUCCAAAGGCCUGAGAACUUUGACUUCUACAGGAUAUCUUUGCCACAGUCCCCAGGAAGCUACAGUGAAUCAACUGAACCUUGCAUUCUCCAAGCUGAGACAGAGUAGUCGCUGGCAUUCCCCGAAUCCUAAGGCAGUGAAACAGUGACAAGAAAAAGCUCAGUGUGAAAGCCUGUUGCAAGUUGGCACCACAGCCAGUUACAGAGAAAAGCACUGCUGAGGAUGAUUGCAAUGAGGUGUGACCCAUUUACCCACAAGACUCUGAUAUGCAGGCAUUUGCCUAACAGACCUGCCACCAAUAGUGAAGAAUAAAUACAUGAAUUGAAAGAGUGUAGUUCCUCUG